UACGGAGGGGGCUAGCGUUGUUCGGAAUUACUGGGCGUAAAGCGCAUGUAGGCGGCUUUGCAAGUUAGAGGUGAAAGCCCGGGGCUCAACUCCGGAAUUGCCUUUAAAACUGCAUCGCUAGAAUUGUGGAGAGGUAAGUGGAAUUCCGAGUGUAGAGGUGAAAUUCGUAGAUAUUCGGAAGAACACCAGUGGCGAAGGCGACUUACUGGACACAUAUUGACGCUGAGGUGCGAAAGCGUGGGGAGCAAACAGGAU
Molecule: ribosomal RNA, 255 nt
Filed under: uncultured bacterium
Lineage: Bacteria
Description: partial 16S ribosomal RNA
Rfam family: Bacterial small subunit ribosomal RNA
Source: RNAcentral